CCUUCGAUAGCUCAGUUGGAAGAGCGUGGGACUGUAAUUGGAAAACAUCGCAUCCCGAGGCCACCGGAUCGACGCCGGUUCGAAGGA
Pholiota conissans is the source of this 87-nucleotide non-coding RNA. NCBI's taxonomy places the organism in Eukaryota, Fungi, Basidiomycota, Agaricomycetes, Agaricales, Strophariaceae. The record is from the annotation of a GenBank genome assembly.